Molecule: ribosomal RNA, 404 nt
Filed under: Actinomycetes bacterium
Lineage: Bacteria; Bacillati; Actinomycetota; Actinomycetes
Description: Actinobacteria bacterium partial 16S ribosomal RNA
Rfam family: Bacterial small subunit ribosomal RNA
Source: RNAcentral
UGGGGAAUAUUGGACAAUGGGCGCAAGCCUGAUCCAGCCAUGCCGCGUGAGUGAUGAAGGCCCUAGGGUUGUAAAGCUCUUUCACCGGUGAAGAUAAUGACGGUAACCGGAGAAGAAGCCCCGGCUAACUUCGUGCCAGCAGCCGCGGUAAUACGAAGGGGGCUAGCGUUGUUCGGAUUUACUGGGCGUAAAGCGCACGUAGGCGGACUUUUAAGUCAGGGGUGAAAUCCCGGGGCUCAACCCCGGAACUGCCUUUGAUACUGGAAGUCUUGAGUAUGGUGGAGGUGAGUGGAAUUCCGAGUGUAGAGGUGAAAUUCGUAGAUAUUCGGAGGAACACCAGUGGCGAAGGCGGCUCACUGGACCAUUACUGACGCUGAGGUGCGAAAGCGGGGGGAGCAAACAGG